AUGAACGCUGGCGGCGUGCCUCAUACAUGCAAGUCGCGCGAACAGACGAGGAGCUUGCUCCUCUGACGUUAGCGGCGGACGGGUGAGUAACACGUGGAUAACCUACCUAUAAGACUGGGAUAACUUCGGGAAACCGGAGCUAAUACCGGAUAAUAUAUUGAACCGCAUGGUUCAAUAGUGAAAGACGGUUUUGCUGUCACUUAUAGAUGGAUCCGCGCCGCAUUAGCUAGUUGGUAAGGUAACGGCUUACCAAGGCAACGAUGCGUAGCCGACCUGAGAGGGUGAUCGGCCACACCGGAACUGAGACACGGUCCAGACUCCUACGGGAGGCAGCAGUAGGGAAUCUUCCGCAAUGGGCGAAAGCCUGACGGAGCAACGCCGCGUGAGUGAUGAAGGUCUUCGGAUCGUAAAACUCUGUUAUUAGGGAAGAACAAAUGUGUAAGUAACUAUGCACGUCUUGACGGUACCUAAUCAGAAAGCCACGGCUAACUACGUG
RNAcentral lists this ribosomal RNA (496 nucleotides) under uncultured bacterium. Its description in RNAcentral is "partial 16S ribosomal RNA". It matches the Rfam family "Bacterial small subunit ribosomal RNA", at positions 29 to 507 of the family's 1533-position model. The record is from RNAcentral.